CAGGAUUUGGAUCUGCAACUGUCAGGUUUCUGCCCACCACCAGGAUUUCAGGACCAAGUACUGGUCCUCACCUCUUAAGUGCCAUGGGAUCACUCACCAGUCCUGUGCAACACAAGGUGACACCACACAUGGUCCCAGGUCACCCGGCUGCACACGACAUCCACCACAACCCAGGUGGCGGAGUUGGUCAAAGUCGAGAAAGUGUUGAAGCAGCCAUAGCAGAUAUCAAACAAGCAAUUAGGAGAACUAAAAAUUUGCCUGUUAAAUCUCAUCCCCAAGACAGGUCACCAAUUAACGACAAGGCCCCCGUGUGGAUACCACGG
This is a long non-coding RNA of Homarus americanus (American lobster), 323 nucleotides long. RefSeq lists it as uncharacterized. The transcript is spliced from 3 exons. The record is from RefSeq and is a predicted model, not a curated record. Lineage: Eukaryota; Metazoa; Arthropoda; Malacostraca; Decapoda; Nephropidae.